UGAGGAUUAUCCUCAGGCAGGGAUUAAGUGACAUCUGAUACAUCAAGUGCCACACAGCGCCUGGCCCGAUGCCAAGUGCUCGACAGGUGCCAGUCCCCUUCCUUUCUGCCUCUGUCCACUUCACUCCUGCUGUCUGCCCUUUCAGUCUGGCACCCCUGGCAGCUCUACCUGAACUGGGAUGACCCACUGGCAAGGUUGUCAAGGCAGAGUUUCUGCAUGUGCCUUUUGUCACAAGGCUGGAUGUGGAAGGCUGAGUAAGGUUGGUGCAGAGGCUGUCGGGGGGUCCAGCUUAACCUAAUCCUGAUUGAUAGAGAGCUAUCGGGAAGGACAACCACUGGGCUUCUGAGAUGACCGGCUGGAAGCCUGAACCCGCCGGAUGGUCAUCUUGCCACCGCAUGGGAAGGAAGGUUGCCUGAAUAAAGCUGACAUAGAAGGAGGCAAGCUUCCUGAGGCCUCAACCAGGAGCAGAUGCCAGCACCAUGCUUCUUGCACAACCUGCAGAACCAGAAACCAAAAUAAACUUUUCUUUAUAAAUUACCCAGCCUCACACAUUCCUUC
This 558-nucleotide long non-coding RNA is filed under the name Homo sapiens (human). RNAcentral's name for it is "HSALNT0136003". Lineage: Eukaryota; Metazoa; Chordata; Mammalia; Primates; Hominidae. The record is from RNAcentral.